RNAcentral lists this non-coding RNA (43 nucleotides) under Trichobilharzia regenti. Lineage: Eukaryota; Metazoa; Platyhelminthes; Trematoda; Strigeidida; Schistosomatidae. The record is from RNAcentral.
ACCGAGCUGACGAGUCCCAAACAGGACGAAACUCAUCAACGAU